AGGUUGGUGCAAAAGUAAUUACGGUUUUGCCAUUUUAAUUGUGACAAAAACCACAAUUACUUUUGCACCAA
RNAcentral lists this microRNA precursor (71 nucleotides) under Rhinopithecus bieti (black snub-nosed monkey). Its description in RNAcentral is "miRNA (ENSRBIG00000009466.1)". The record is from RNAcentral. Lineage: Eukaryota; Metazoa; Chordata; Mammalia; Primates; Cercopithecidae.